RNAcentral lists this ribosomal RNA (465 nucleotides) under uncultured bacterium. RNAcentral's name for it is "bacterial SSU rRNA". It matches the Rfam family "Bacterial small subunit ribosomal RNA", at positions 329 to 793 of the family's 1533-position model. The record is from RNAcentral.
GACCAGACUCCUACGGGAGGCAGCAGUGGGGAAUAUUGCACAAUGGGGGAAACCCUGAUGCAGCGACGCCGCGUGAGUGAAGAAGUAUUUCGGUAUGUAAAGCUCUAUCAGCAGGGAAGAAAUAGCGACCUUUGGGUCGCCAGACGGUACCUAACUAAGAAGCCCCGGCUAACUACGUGCCAGCAGCCGCGGUAAUACGUAGGGGGCAAGCGUUAUCCGGAUUUACUGGGUGUAAAGGGAGCGUAGACGGCAGCACAAGUCUGAAGUGAAAUGCCGGGGCUUAACCCCGGAACUGCUUUGGAAACUGUGCAGCUAGAGUGCAGGAGAGGUAAGUGGAAUUCCUAGUGUAGCGGUGAAAUGCGUAGAUAUUGGGAGGAACACCAGUGGCGAAGGCGGCCUGCUGGACAUUAACUGACGCUGAGGCGCGAAAGCGUGGGGAGCAAACAGGAUUAGAUACCCUAGUAU